Long non-coding RNA from Diachasmimorpha longicaudata, 3352 nucleotides. RefSeq lists it as uncharacterized. The transcript has 3 exons. The record is from RefSeq and is a predicted model, not a curated record. NCBI's taxonomy places the organism in Eukaryota, Metazoa, Arthropoda, Insecta, Hymenoptera, Braconidae.
UUUUUAGUGUUUUUUCGUGAGUGAGUUAGGAUGAUGAGUGUACCAUAGGGCUGGCAUCUUCACUGGCGAAGAGAGCCCCUACAAGUCAUCCGAGAGACGAAUAAUCCGAACCAACCCCAGAGUCAACCUGGAUAUGACUCUAAGGCGUCUGUGAUGGAUGGAGAUGUUAUGAGGGUCCAGCAAGCUCGGCAAAUUUCACCGGAUCGUCCACCCGACAUAAGAUUUUACGAGGAAACCACCCAACCCGGCACCAAGAACGAUAUUUGCCAUCUAUGCAAGCCCUCUCUUCUCAGCUUUUUUUUUCAAGUCGAUGGCGGAGUACAGCCGGAGAUUCGCUUCCGGUGUGGGAGGGCACUUUGCCAGUCUCGCCUGGUCUCUUCAACUCACCCUCACCCUCCUUGAGGAUCGUACUUUUGGAGGCGGUUGAGAACAAACCGGGAGAUGGAAUUUUGCGUUUCCUCUGUCGCCUCCUUCCAGAGCCCCUCUCGUCUGUCUGGCGGAGAAGGGGGGCCCGUGACCUCCUGAGUUUCGGGGAAAAUAACCAUCAACAUUGUGACCCUUGAUAGCUCAACCUGAAGCUAUCUAUUCCCUCCUCAAACUAGAGCAGGUGUUGGAUGUACUUUGCGCAUUUUCUCGUUUCCGGGGACGUUUUCCCAAUCGAGGAUAAAUGCCUUCUUUUUAGGAAUUUUCAUUUUAUUUCCGAGUAAUUGAAAACAUCCCUUUCAGUCAUGAAGUUUGUCAACGCUUGAAGACUAAACCCUUCAAGUAAGGUUUUGUCAUAUUUGUGAAUUAAUAAAGUUCAUAAAGGAUAUUUUUCCAUCUUUUCAUACACAAAAUAUUUCAAAGUUAAGUCUUCAAAUUGCAAAAAAUCCCCGAUUUUCCUACUAUCAACCAUCAAAGACAAUUCUUCUUUCAAUAAAUAAAAUUGAAGAGCGACAACAAUGUAUCCUUCACGCCAGAUCCCAUGAUCUUCAAGUGCAUAAACAAUUGCAUUGACAUGUACAAAUAAAUUACUGUAUUUACCUAUCCAACGAAACAGCAACGAGACUGUAGACAGAAGCAGCAACCGAGACUCCCUGAACAUAAGAAACGGUUUUGCACAUGAAGCGUCCAAGCACCCAAGCUGAAACACAUUAAAAAAUGGAAAUUUUAAUUGAACCAAAUCCAGGAGAUUAAUCAUCAAGAUCAGCGCAUUCAAUUCAAUAAUUGUUUUCGCAUAUGGCGCGGAGCAAGGGCACACCCAGUGGUCGAAAUAUAGGCCAUGACUAUAGGAUAAUUAAUCGUGAAACGAGAGGGAGACAUUGGAAACCUUUAAUGCGUGGAAAACAGUGGGAAAUGUCAUCGGUUGCAUUCAUCGUUGUGCAUAAAUUGAUUCACCCAUGAUACACGAUUGGCUGUGGAACGGUUUCGUAUGCUAACAACUAUCAUCCAACACACACUGGCAUUAAAAACCAUUAUAAAGGAUUUCAGUACGUAGGAAAGUGAAGGGCAGGAGCAGCGUUGAAAGGCAAUACGAAUCACCGAUCGAGCGUUAAAUGGUAAUUAUCUACUGUUGCACCGAUUGCUGUUUGUGUUUAUUAUUAUUUGUUUUUUAUAGAUUAUUUAGUACAGUUUAUCGAUUGGCGGAGACAGGGGGGGAUCAUGAUGAUUAAGAAAAUCUAUUGACAUUGAGGGUUUUGCAGUGAUGGGUGGUAUUGUAUUUGCACGUCCCUGAGAUGAUUCAGGGCAAUUAUUAUGUCAGAUUGAGAAUAAUUUAUAUCUGAGACAUACAUUAAAGGUUUAUAGAAUAUCAAGAUUGGAGAAUGAAUGGUAAUGGGGAAAACGGGAAUUCUGAUAUUCCAGUUUUUAUUAUUGCACAAUAAUGGUUGCGGUGAACGGAUUUUUGAUGGAAAUGUUGAAGUAGAUUUUUUUAUUGAGUUUUUCCGGAAUAUAAUGUGGUUAAUUUCAUUUAUAUUAGUUGGGGAUAUUGAGACUUUGGUGGAAGUUCAUUGAUUGAGGCAAAUGAUAGAAUAAAGAUUGUUAUUAUCAUAUCAUUGUUAAUCGUUAUGUUAAUCAUCGGUUUAUAGAACAUGAGAAUUUAUGGAGGAAUUCUGUUAUCAGUUUAUGGCAGAGAAUGGAAUAGAUCGAGAACUAAGUUUCUUAGUUAGGGAAUCGAUUUGCAGAAACUGGAAUUAUAAUCGAUGCAAUGAUUAACUGUGAUUCAUGCCCAUUCGAUAAAAUUAUGCGUGAACUGAUAAAAUAUUUCCAACAGAAAAUUGAUGAAAGACAAAUCAAUUUUAUGCAUCUGAAAUGCAAUUAACAAACUAUAUUUUACCGAAAAUGAGUUGAAAUAUAACUAAUACUACUCGUUUGUUAAAUUUAUCACAUUUCCACGGAAAUGGCCGGCUAUUCAAAAUCAAUCAAUUAAAUUAUGUACGUAUCUAAAUGAUAAAACGAAAGGUAAGCGACAAAAUGUUAAUAAUUAUUCGUAAAUUAUUGCAUUUUCGUAAUCUCCCAUUAUAUCACUAACAGAUCGUUCCACGAAAAGAAAAAAUCGCAAACCUGGGUUUCGAUUAAUAAAAUUGCCUUCGGACAAUAUUUUUUCACAUGUCCUCUUAAACCCGCUCGCUACCCAGAUAAUGACAUUUCACGUAGAAUUUUUUUUUUUCGAACAUUCGAUUGCAAAAAUAAACCAACACGUUUACGUUGAUAGGUGAUUUUCCACAGUGUACGGGGUGAGAGGAAGAGAGGAAAUUUCGUGUAGGCGAAUGAAAAUAUGCGAGCCCUUACGUCCCGCACACUCGGCCCAUAAAUUUAUCUGAACUCGACUAUUGCCUCCCACUCUAGCCGAUAAAAACUGAAACCUUCCUCUCCACUAGCGUGCAACAGCACAUUUUUUUUCACUCAAUCCAAGUUUCUUCGUUUGUUCUCCAUCCAAAUUGCAUUGCCCACUCUCACUUUUGGGGGGGAAAACAAGCGGGUACGUUGCAUGCACAAUAUUGAGAUGAAUUUUUAUCGCUGGAGCCAGUCUAGAAUUGCAUGCCAACCGGAUUUAACCAAGCGUGAUUUUCCGUUGUGUAUAUAAUCUAGGGUUUGGAGGUGGAAAAUUGACAUAACAGUUUUGUUAAUUGCAGGACAUGUGUUGUUCCAUUAAAAUUCGAGUGAUUUUGUAAUGUUUUCGGACGGAGAUUGGCAUUGAUCAGCAUUUUUCGUGAUAUUUCAAACCUAUUAAUUAACAAAGGUAGUACAGUAGUGUUCAUUAUAAAUUAUUUAUCGCUGCAAUUAUGAAUCUAUAAUCAGUAUUUUUUCAUAAUCUCACUUGACAAAAUUAAAACCAAAUGUCAUGAAAUAAAUUAUUCUAUGAUUUACUGUU